RNAcentral lists this ribosomal RNA (1313 nucleotides) under Epeurysa nawaii. Its description in RNAcentral is "SSU rRNA". It matches the Rfam family "Eukaryotic small subunit ribosomal RNA", at positions 433 to 1679 of the family's 1831-position model. The record is from RNAcentral. Lineage: Eukaryota; Metazoa; Arthropoda; Insecta; Hemiptera; Delphacidae.
CGCGCAAUUACCCACUCCCGGCACGGGGAGGUAGUGACGAAAAAUAACGAUACGGGACUCAUCCGAGGCCCCGUAAUCGGAAUGAGUAUACUCUAAAUCCUUGUACAAGUAUCAAUUGGAGGGCAAGUCUGGUGCCAGCAGCCGCGGUAAUUCCAGCUCCAAUAGCGUAUAUUAAAGUUGUUGCGGUUAAAAAGCUCGUAGUUGGAUCUGUGUCCUUCGACGCCGGUUCACCGCCUGUCGGUGCCAACUGGCGUUUUGCGGGACGUCCUGUCGGUGGCGCGCCUGGGAUCUUUGUUGUGUUUCGGGUACAUCCUGAGGCCGGCUCUGGUUCUGGGCCGCUUUCAUAAUCCCGCCGCGGUGCUCUUUACCGAGUGUCGAGGCGGGCCGGCACGUUUACUUUGAACAAAUUAGAGUGCUUCAAGCAGGCUCUUCAUGCCUGGAUACUGUGUGCAUGGAAUAAUGGAAUAGGACCUCGGUUCUAUUUUGUUGGUUUCCGGAAUCUGAGGUAAUGAUCAAUGGGGACAGGCGGGGGCAUUCGUAUUGCGACGUUAGAGGUGAAAUUCUUGGAUCGUCGCAAGACGGACCGAAGCGAAAGCAUUUGCCAAGUAUGUUCCCGUCGAUCAAGAACGAAAGUUAGAGGUUCGAAGGCGAUCAGAUACCGCCCUAGUUCUAACCAUAAACAAUGCCUGCCAGCGAUCCGCCGGCGUCUUUUCUGAUGACCCGGCGGGCAGCUUCCGGGAAACCAAAGCUUUUGGGUUCCGGGGGAAGUAUGGUUGCAAAGCUGAAACUUAAAGGAAUUGACGGAAGGGCACCACCAGGAGUGGAGCCUGCGGCUUAAUUUGACUCAACACGGGAAAACUCACCAGGCCCGGACACCGGAAGGAUUGACAGAUUGAUAGCUCUUUCUUGAUUCGGUGGGUGGUGGUGCAUGGCCGUUCUUAGUUGGUGGAGCGAUUUGUCUGGUUAAUUCCGAUAACGAACGAGACUCUAGCCUACUAACUAGACGUAUCUGGUAUCAGCAAUCGUGCUACCAGCGAUCAUAUCUCUUCUUAGAGGGACAGGCGGCUUCUAGCCGCACGAGACUGAGCAAUAACAGGUCUGUGAUGCCCUUAGAUGUCCUGGGCCGCACGCGCGCUACACUGAAGGAAUCAGCGUGUCUUCCCUGUCCGAAAGGACCGGGUAACCCGCUGAACCUCCUUCGUGCUUGGGAUUGGGGCUUGCAAUUGUUCCCCAUGAACGAGGAAUUCCCAGUAAGCGCGAGUCAUAAGCUCGCGUUGAUUACGUCCCUGCCCUUUGUACACACCGCCCGUCGC